RNAcentral lists this ribosomal RNA (468 nucleotides) under uncultured bacterium. RNAcentral describes it as "partial 16S ribosomal RNA". It matches the Rfam family "Bacterial small subunit ribosomal RNA", at positions 28 to 507 of the family's 1533-position model. The record is from RNAcentral.
GACGAACGCUGGCGGCGUGCUUAACACAUGCAAGUCGAACGGAAAGGCCCUGCUUUUGUGGGGUGCUCGAGUGGCGAACGGGUGAGUAACACGUGAGUAACCUGCCCUUGACUUUGGGAUAACUUCAGGAAACUGGGGCUAAUACCGGAUAGGAGCUCCUGCUGCAUGGUGGGGGUUGGAAAGUUUCGGCGGUUGGGGAUGGACUCGCGGCUUAUCAGCUUGUUGGUGGGGUAGUGGCUUACCAAGGCUUUGACGGGUAGCCGGCCUGAGAGGGUGACCGGCCACAAUGGGACUGAGGUAAGACCCAGACUCCUGAGGGAGGCAGCAGUGGGGAAUAUUGAACAAUGGGCGGAAGCCUGAUGCAGCAACGCCGCGUGCGGGAUGACGGCCUUCGGGUUGAAAACCGCUUUCGCCUGGGACGAAGCGUGAGUGACGGUAAUGGGUAAAGAAGCACCGGCUAACUACGUG